CUGGGUACCGAAUUCAAUACUUUUUAGGCACCAACCGAAUUGCCUCUGUAGUAUCGAGUAUCGGAAAUUGCUGCACAAUUCAACACCCAAUUUUAAUACCUUAGGAGUAAAUUUCAUCAGAGUCAGUGAGCCAAUAAGCACGCAGCAUGCUUCUACCAAGAUCUAAUAUUGUUUGUGAUUGGCUGUCUAACGUUACACGUUGUAGAGACACACAGGAAAAACACUGUUACGCACAGUGACGGGCUCAUGUAGUAGGAGCUGAAAAAUAAAUAAAAAGAUUUGUAACAUAAUGUGCAAUGUUGUUAUUUCUUUCUUUUUAUAAUUGUAUUUUAUA
Sander lucioperca (pikeperch) is the source of this 334-nucleotide long non-coding RNA. RefSeq lists it as uncharacterized. The record is from RefSeq and is a predicted model, not a curated record. Lineage: Eukaryota; Metazoa; Chordata; Actinopteri; Perciformes; Percidae. The transcript has 3 exons.